Molecule: long non-coding RNA, 1840 nt
Organism: Myotis daubentonii (Daubenton's bat)
Lineage: Eukaryota; Metazoa; Chordata; Mammalia; Chiroptera; Vespertilionidae
Exons: 3
Source: RefSeq, a predicted model, not a curated record
GGCUGAGCUGGGGACAGGAUGUUGGUUUCUUGGCACCCAGUCCAGAAAGUAAUUCUGCGCAAGAUAGGAAAUUUAUGAACUGAUUUGAGACAAGGCUGACAUUUGAACUUGGCCUCGAGCAGGCCCAUUUCUCUUGAGAUCUGUGCACGUUGAGUGUGGGGUUCAUUCCACUGGUCUAUUGAAGCCACUUGGCUGGUGUCGGAUCCUUCUCAGGGCUGGGGGGGGUGGGGAGACACACAUCAGUGACCAAAACAGACCGGUUCCUGCUCCUUGGUAUAAACAGAUAACAUAGGUACGUAAACAGACCCCUAGAAGGUGUAUGCAAGAGUGACUGGGGCUGGGGUGACUUUGGCUGGGGUGAUAAGGGCCGCUUCCUAGGGAGGUGACCACUGAGCCAACACCACCAGGGUUGGGUUUUGUAACAGCUUUGGAAAGGUGUUGUGGGUUGACUUGUGUCUUCUCCCCACUCCACCCCACCCCACCCCAAACUCAUAUGUUGAAAUCCUAACCCCCAGGACCACAGAAUAUGACAGUAUUUGGAAAUAACAUCUUAACAGAUGUGAUCAGUUAAAAUGAGGUCAAUAAGGUGAGCCCUGACCCAUGUGACUGGUGUCCUUAUAUAAGAAGAGGACAUUUGAACACAGAGACACGGGGAGAAGACAGCGUGUACAAGCAAGGAGAGAGGCAUCAGGAGGAACCAGCCCUGCCCACACCUUGAUCUUGGACUUCCAACCUCCAGAACUGGGAGAUAAAACAUUUCUGUUGUUUCAGCCACUCAGUCGGUGUCACUUUGUUUCAGCAGCCGGGACGCACUCAGUGCCCGGAGGCCCAGAGAUGCCUCCCAUCCCGCCCUCUGCGCACCUUCCCAGGGCCCCAGGUUGGAAUGGGAGGAGACACCCUCUCUGUCUCCUCCCCCACAACCGGAAGGAAGCUGAGAGGACCACACCUGAAGCCAGCAGAGCCCUCCUUUGGCUGGAAGGGCAGAGGGAGCCCAUUCCCCACCACGUUUUCCUCCAUGGUGUUUGGAGACCCUGAUUCACACCCUGUCUUCACACACUCCCAGGAGCCCGGAACUUUCUGGAAAUGCCGCAGAGGAUGAUGUUUUCACAAGAGGAGGACGAGGCAGCCUAUUUCAAGGGAACCUGGACUCCUCAGAGUCAGCAAUGGGGUGAGGGGGAGGCAGAGAGAAGUCCAGAAGUCAGAUUUCACCUACUUGGUACACCUGCCAGGACGGGCCUGGCGCGGUGCCGCCACAGCGAAAGCUGAGUAAAUAUUAUGACUGGAUCGCCAGAGACAAGCCAAACCAAACAAACCCCUUAAAGAUCCACCGCUGAGGGAUUGCAAAGGAAAUAGGCGAGAUCCGGGAGCCAAGGACGAGGUAACGAUACCGGCACCCAGAGGGGACAGUUACUGUAACGCAGGGUCUCCCCCGGGCACUGCAGACAUUGGGGUCCUGUCACUCUCUGUGGGGCUGUCAUGGACACUGUGGGGUGCCAAGCAGCAUCCCUGGCCCCUGCCUACUCGAUGCCAGGAAUAUUGUGACAACCAUAGAUGUCCCCAGACAUUGCUCAGUGCCCCUCCCCGGGGCAGGGGCGGGCGGGGGGCACCUGCUGCAAUGUAACUCAUUGUUGGAUACAAGAAACACAUCAUGUGUGGCACAUAGUAGGUCCUCAUUAAAUUUUUGUUGCAUGAAUAAAUAAUGACAGAUGCCUUGAGAAAUAUACACCAGGAUGUAAAUUUCUUGGGAGCAAGGAGGGUUUUUUAGCUACCGCUGUAAACCUGGCUCUUAGCAUCAUGCCAGGCUAUACAGAAGUCUUGAUAUAGCCGUGUAUUCACUAAG